GUAGGGAAUAUUGGGCAAUGGUCGGAAGACUGACCCAGCCAUGCCGCGUGCAGGAAGACGGCCCUCUGGGUUGUAAACUGCUUUUAUCUGGGAAGAAAAAGGCCAUGCGUGGCAAAUUGCCGGUACCAGAUGAAUAAGCACCGGCUAACUCCGCGCCAGCAGCCGCGGUAAUACGGAGGGUGCGAGCGUUGUCCGGAUUUAUUGGGUUUAAAGGGUGCGUAGGCGGCUGAUUAAGUCAGUGGUGAAAGACUUCGGCUUAACCGGAGCAGUGCCGUUGAUACUGGUUGGCUUGAGUGUCGGAGGGGUACAUGGAAUUGAUGGUGUAGCGGUGAAAUGCAUAGAUACCAUCAGGAACACCGAUAGCGAAGGCAUUGUACUGGCCGACAACUGACGCUGAUGCACGAAAGUGUGGGGAUCGAACAGGAUUAGAUACCCCGGUAGUCC
This 444-nucleotide ribosomal RNA is filed under the name uncultured bacterium. Its description in RNAcentral is "partial 16S ribosomal RNA". It matches the Rfam family "Bacterial small subunit ribosomal RNA", at positions 354 to 796 of the family's 1533-position model. The record is from RNAcentral.